Molecule: long non-coding RNA, 779 nt
Organism: Leguminivora glycinivorella
Lineage: Eukaryota; Metazoa; Arthropoda; Insecta; Lepidoptera; Tortricidae
Exons: 2
Source: RefSeq, a predicted model, not a curated record
GAAGAUACUACGUUAAUUGUAAGUUACAGCUGGCAACAUUGUAUAUUGACGUUUCUCACGUUUCGAUUUACGGAAUACGUGGUCCAUAUUAUAACGCCUUUUGAAAUUUUGCACAUUUUAUUGAUUUUAUACAUGAUUAUGUAUUUAAUAUUGAUUACUUUAAAUGUAUAUUCUUCCUACAACAUUGUUCAAUGAUACAACUUUUUUAAGAAAUUUUAUGUGGAUGAAGAUGAAACGUAAUGCAAAUGUCAAAGAAAGAAAAUAAUUUUAGUUUAACUUAUGAAUCAUAAACAUACUGCUAAAAAUUCUAAACUUCAGGUCUAAUAAUAUAAACUACAUCUAAGUAUUUUGCAGUCCACAGGAUAAUUGAGGGAAGUUAGUUCUGAGAUGAUGAAAAUAAUAUAUGGUCUCAAAGGAAGUCGGCCUCAUUGUGAACAAGACGAAAUCCCGCUUUAUAUAAACCAAGGCAGGUUGGAAAAGUCCAGAAGCAAAUUUUAGAAGAAAAAUAUUGUACUGAAUAACUACAAUGGGCCAUUGAAGAAGAGAAGACGGCACAAGAGGGAAAUAUGGGCCUUAGAAAAAGAUAUCACGCCUCUAUCCCAUAAAGAGGUAGGCAGAGCACAUGAACUACUAAGUUUCUGUGCCACUCUUGGCAAAAAGGGGUGGAAAGAAAUCCAAAUUAUGACAUUGAAGAAGUGAAGACUAAAUAAGUAAACCAAAGGCCCCAAGAAUAUAAAAGACUGCAAUGAAAUUGUCAAGAAGAGGGUGCGAGAGCAGAA